Molecule: ribosomal RNA, 446 nt
Filed under: uncultured bacterium
Lineage: Bacteria
Description: bacterial SSU rRNA
Rfam family: Bacterial small subunit ribosomal RNA
Source: RNAcentral
CCUGGGAUGAUAAUGACAGUACCAGGUAAAGAAACCCCGGCUAACUCCGUGCCAGCAGCCGCGGUAAUACGGAGGGGGUUAGCGUUGUUCGGAAUUACUGGGCGUAAAGCGCACGUAGGCGGACCAUCAAGUUGGGGGUGAAAUCCCGGGGCUCAACCCCGGAACUGCCUCCAAAACUGGUGGUCUGGAGUUCGAGAGAGGUGAGUGGAAUUCCGAGUGUAGAGGUGAAAUUCGUAGAUAUUCGGAGGAACAUCAGUGGCGAAGGCGGCUCACUGGCUCGAUACUGACGCUGAGGUGCGAAAGUGUGGGGAGCAAACAGGAUUAGAUACCCUGGUAGUCCACACCGUAAACGAUGAAUGCCAGUCGUCGGGUAGCAUGCUAUUCGGUGACACACCUAACGGAUUAAGCAUUCCGCCUGGGGAGUACGGUCGCAAGAUUAAAACUCA